Molecule: long non-coding RNA, 523 nt
Organism: Malaclemys terrapin pileata
Lineage: Eukaryota; Metazoa; Chordata; Testudines; Emydidae
Exons: 3
Source: RefSeq, a predicted model, not a curated record
GAAAUGUUUUCACUGUGGCCAUGAACCUCGGUGUUUGUAGGUGGACUUCACUAUCUUUGAGAGUUCAAGUGCGGGUCGAACAAUCGAUUCCUCCUCCUUUUCUUUUUCAAGUUUCCUGUCGUUCUUUUGCCCAGAUCAGCAUUGAAGGAAAAUAGGAAGGGCAGUGUUGUAUUCUGGAGUAGCGAUCAGCUCUUCUGGAGGUAAAGUUCUUUUUGCUACGAGGUUUUGUCUUUGGUGGGGGCCUGAGGUUGAUUUUCCUGCUGUACAAAUACCAGGCUAAUAAAGGAAGCUUGAGCCCAGUAAUUCACGGCAAGCCAGUUUGACGGAGCCCUUUUAGUGUGACGGGUGCUUUUCAGAGCUAAUAUCUUGCUGAUAUUAACAGCCGUGCACACGGAGUGAAAUCUGCAAUGUAAAAACCAACGGCUUGCUAAAAAUUUCCAAGAUCGCACAUCUCGCUGUCCCAUUCAUUUCCUUGACCUUUUGCAGGGGGCGGGGGAAGAGAAGGAGGUGCUGGAGCAUGGCA